AGUAAAUAGAUACCCAGGUAGUCCACGCCGUAAACGAUGGGUACUAGGUGUAGGGGUUUCGAUACCUCUGUGCCGCCGUUAAACACAAAUAAAGUACCCCGCCUGGGGAGUACGGUCGCAAGAUUAAAACUCAAAGGAAUUGACGGGGGCCCGCACAAGCAGCGGAGCAUGUGGUUUAAUUCGAAGCAAACGCGAAGAACCUUACCUAGACUUGACAUCUCCUGCAUUACCCUUAAUCGGGGAAGUCCCUUCGGGGACAGGAAGACAGGUGGUGCAUGGUUGUCGUCAGCUCGUGUCGUGAGAUGUUGGGUUAAGUCCCGCAACGAGCGCAACCCUUAUGUUAGUUGCUACCAUUUAGUUGAGCACUCUAGCGAGACUGCCCGGGUUAACCGGGAGGAAGGUGGGGAUGACGUCAAAUCAUCAUGCCCCUUAUGUCUAGGGCUACACACGUGCUACAAUGGUGAGUACAAAAAGAUGCGAGACCGUGAGGUGAGCCAAACUUUAAAACUCAUCCCAGUUCGGAUUGUAGGCUGAAACUCGCCUACAUGAAGCCGGAGUUGCUA
RNAcentral lists this ribosomal RNA (563 nucleotides) under uncultured bacterium. Its description in RNAcentral is "bacterial SSU rRNA". It matches the Rfam family "Bacterial small subunit ribosomal RNA", at positions 774 to 1337 of the family's 1533-position model. The record is from RNAcentral.